GACGAACCGUGCGAACGUUAUUCGGAAUCACUGGGCUUAAAGCGCGUGUAGGCGGGUGGGAACGUCGGCUUCUGAAAGCCCCCGGCUCAACCGGGGAAGUGGAACCGAAACGGCCCGUCUGGAGGGACGUAGGGGGACCUGGAACUUCCGGUGGAGCGGUGAAAUGCGUUGAGAUCGGAAGGAACGCCCGUGGCGAAAGCGAGGUCCUGGACGUCUGCUGACGCUGAGACGCGAAAGCUAGGGGAGCGAACGGG
This 254-nucleotide ribosomal RNA is filed under the name uncultured bacterium. RNAcentral's name for it is "partial 16S ribosomal RNA". It matches the Rfam family "Bacterial small subunit ribosomal RNA", at positions 524 to 776 of the family's 1533-position model. The record is from RNAcentral.